UCGUGGUCGCACAAAAGACCACCCCCAUAACCAUCCAGAGAAAGGUACGAAGUGGAAGGUUAUGUUUGAUAACACAAACCAAGCCACGGAUGAAAUGGCGAAGAAGUUAACGACAAGAAUGGCUCUUUUAGCAAAAGACCAUACUCUUUUUCCGUACGACAUUGAGUGGCGUCAUCAACCACAACAGAAUUUCCAAGACGCGCUAAAAAUAUUAACUG
Molecule: long non-coding RNA, 218 nt
Filed under: Zostera marina
Lineage: Eukaryota; Viridiplantae; Streptophyta; Magnoliopsida; Alismatales; Zosteraceae
Description: long non-coding RNA (ZMAR_LNC003795)
Source: RNAcentral